This 360-nucleotide transfer-messenger RNA is filed under the name Candidatus Desulfofervidaceae bacterium. It matches the Rfam family "transfer-messenger RNA". From Rfam's summary of the family: Bacterial tmRNA, also known as 10Sa RNA or SsrA, is named for its dual tRNA and mRNA-like properties. Its role is to liberate the mRNA from a stalled ribosome. Lineage: Bacteria; Pseudomonadati; Thermodesulfobacteriota; Candidatus Desulfofervidia; Candidatus Desulfofervidales; Candidatus Desulfofervidaceae. The record is from RNAcentral.
GGGGGCGAUGUGGUUUCGACGGGGAUAUGGUAGGUUUAAGCUGCAUGCCGGGGUCCUAUCACCUCGUGAAAAAUGAUAGGGUAAAACACAAAUGCCAACGAUUACGAAUACGCUCUGGCUGCUUAAUUAACGCAGUCAGCGUCUGUCUGGCUCAGCCUGCGGAGCUAGAGCAGACGUCGGUAAAGCAGGCUAGCUGUUGGCUGUAGCCUAUGGCAGCCAAUAGCGAAAUUUGACAUAGGCUAGCUUCUGGACUUCUUGUUCGGGGGAAAGCCAGAAGCGAAUAUGAAAACCCGAACUAAGCAUGUAGAGGCUUAAACCGAAUGUCUCCGGACGCGGGUUCGAUUCCCGCCGCCUCCACCA